GGGACCAAUUAAGCUAAAUAUGUUUUGGUUUUAGGGGCUAAUUAGAUUUGUAAUGAGUCAAACAAUGAUUUAUUAUUGUAGACUUUUUUUGUGGUGGUAUGGUUAUUUAUUUUGUAUCCCAUGGUGGUAAGGAUAGCAGAUUGCAACCUUUUUCACUAUAAAGGUUAAAGGAGUUCUCCAGGUACCAACUUAGAGAAGGUGUUGUCUUACCUAGAGGUCCUGGGCGACAUUUUAUGAAUGGCUUAACCUUAA
Pelobates cultripes (western spadefoot toad) is the source of this 252-nucleotide non-coding RNA. The record is from the annotation of a GenBank genome assembly. NCBI's taxonomy places the organism in Eukaryota, Metazoa, Chordata, Amphibia, Anura, Pelobatidae.